UACGGGAGGCAGCAGUGGGGAAUAUUGCACAAUGGGCGAAAGCCUGAUGCAGCUAUGCCGCGUGUAUGAAGAAGGCCUUAGGGUUGUAAAGUACUUUCAUCGGGGAGGAAAAAACAAAACUAAUAAUUUUAUUUCUUGACGUUACCCGAAAAAGAAGCACCGGCUAACUCCGUGCCAGCAGCCGCGGUAAUACGGAGGGUGCUAGCGUUAAUCAGAAUUACUGGGCGUAAAGAGCACGUAGGUGGUUUUUUUAAGUCAGAUGUGAAAUCCCUGGGCUUAACCUAGGAACUGCAUUUUGAAACUGAAAUACUAGAGUAUCGUAGAGGGAGGUAGAAUUCUAGGUGUAGCGGUGAAAUGCGUAGAUAUCUGGAGGAAUACCUGUGGCGAAAGCGGCCUCCUAAACGAAUACUGACACUGAGGUGCGAAAAGCGUGGGGAGCAAACAGGGAUUAGAUACC
This 457-nucleotide ribosomal RNA is filed under the name uncultured bacterium. RNAcentral's name for it is "bacterial SSU rRNA". It matches the Rfam family "Bacterial small subunit ribosomal RNA", at positions 340 to 786 of the family's 1533-position model. The record is from RNAcentral.